This 373-nucleotide ribosomal RNA is filed under the name Myxobdella annandalei. RNAcentral describes it as "partial 12S ribosomal RNA". The record is from RNAcentral. Lineage: Eukaryota; Metazoa; Annelida; Clitellata; Hirudinida; Hirudinidae.
UAGAUACCCUAUUAUUAUUAAUCAAUAUUGAGUUUGGAGAGUAAAAGCUUAUUGCUUAAAAACCAAAGAAUAUGGCGGUGUCUUAUUCUAUCAGGGGAACCUGUACCUUAAUUUGAUAGUCCACGAUUAUAUAUUCCUAAAUUUGAAAUUUCAGCUUGUGUACUGCCGAAUUAUAAGCCUCUAUAGAUUUGCUUAUAUAACAAUUAGAUAAAAUAGUAAGUCAGGUCAAAGUGCAGCUCAUAUUUAGGUGGGAUUGGGUUACAUUUAUUUUAAGAUUCAGAUAAUUUUAUUUUACAAUAUUAUUAUAAGAAGGAUUUGAAAGUAAUUAAAUAUUAUAUAUUUAAUGAAUUCGACCCUAAGAUGUGUACACAUC